ACGACAAUCACCUAUUCCGUCCCAUAAGUGAAAAUUUAGGGCAUAAUGAAUUAAGUAAAAAACCCUUAUCUAUCGAAGUUUAGGAAUUGCGGUCGCCUCUGCCCAAUUUAUCUCUCUCUCACCAUCACCGGCAACCAUUCCAGGUAAUCCAAUGUUUCAUUGGGAUUUCAAGUAGUUCAAAUUUAUGGUUCAGUUAGGAAGAUUUUUCUUAGCCUCUUUUGCAUAGCACGACACACUUGGCCUUCUAGUCAGGUUAACAUAAUCAAGAAUUGCAAACAGUGAAGCUGGCAUGGAGAAAAAUAAGAGGGUAAAUUGUGAAAAAGUAUAGAAGACACUCUUCUUUCUCUUUAUUACUAUAUAGUUAGAAUUUUUUUUAUGUGGACUUCUUGUACAGUAUUUUUGGUGGAUGUGAGAUCAAUUACUAGCCAGGGAGUGCUCGACUUUUGGAAAGAUGGUUCCACAGAGCUUUAUUGCAUAAUUUAUUCUGGAAGUUAAAGGGAAUUAGCUCGGAAUAGGAGUGAUCUUAACAUAGGUGUAUGAUGGAUUAUGUCUUUUAUGAUUUAAUUAGUUUUAAGAUUUGUCUUUUUUGAUUUAAUUAGUAAUGGAGAGAUGAUUUAAUUUGAUGCCAUCUAAAUUGUAAGGAGUACGCUUAUUCGGUCAUCACUUUAAUUUUUUUUUUUUGAUACAAUAAUAAGAGUUAUUUUCUUUAGAUAUA
This is a long non-coding RNA of Nicotiana tabacum (common tobacco), 715 nucleotides long. RefSeq lists it as uncharacterized. Lineage: Eukaryota; Viridiplantae; Streptophyta; Magnoliopsida; Solanales; Solanaceae. The record is from RefSeq and is a predicted model, not a curated record.